UAGUCCACGCCGUAAACGUUGAUCACUAGGUGUGGCGGACUCAUUGACGUCUGCUGUGCCGGCGCUAACGCAUUAAGUGAUCCGCCUGGGGAGUACGGCCGCAAGGCUAAAACUCAAAGGAAUUGACGGGGCCCCGCACAAGCGGCGGAGCAUGCGGCUUAAUUCGAUGCGACCCGAAGAACCUUACCUGGGUUUGACAUUAUGGGAAAAACUGUAGAGAUACAGUGUGCGUAAGCGUCCAUAACAGGUGGUGCAUGGCUGUCGUCAGCUCGUGUCGUGAGAUGUUGGGUUAAGUCCCGCAACGAGCGCAACCCUCGUUCUAUGUCGCCAGCACGUAAUGGUGGGGACUCAUAGGAGACUGCCGGGGACAACUCGGAGGAAGGUGAGGACGACGUCAAGUCAGCAUGCCCCUUAUAUCCAGGGCUGCACGCAUGCUACAAUGGCCGGUACAACGGGCAGCGACCCCGCGAGGGUGAGCGAAUCCCUUAAAGCCGGUCUC
Molecule: ribosomal RNA, 499 nt
Filed under: uncultured bacterium
Lineage: Bacteria
Description: bacterial SSU rRNA
Rfam family: Bacterial small subunit ribosomal RNA
Source: RNAcentral